Molecule: ribosomal RNA, 444 nt
Filed under: uncultured bacterium
Lineage: Bacteria
Description: bacterial SSU rRNA
Rfam family: Bacterial small subunit ribosomal RNA
Source: RNAcentral
UCGGGAAUUUUGGGCAAUGGGCGAAAGCCUGACCCAGCAACGCCGCGUGAAGGAUGAAGUAUUUCGGUAUGUAAACUUCGAAAGAAUAGGAAGAAUAAAUGACGGUACUAUUUAUAAGGUCCGGCUAACUACGUGCCAGCAGCCGCGGUAAUACGUAGGGACCAAGCGUUGUUCGGAUUUACUGGGUGUAAAGGGCGUGUAGGUGGGUCUCUAAGUCGGUGGUGAAAGCCCGCAGCUCAACUGCGGAAUUGCCAUUGAUACUGGAGGUCUUGAGUACGGCAGAGGGAAAUAGAAUUCAUGGUGUAGCGGUGAAAUGUGUAGAUAUCAUGAAGAAUACCGGUAGCGAAGGCGGUUUCCUGGUCCGUAACUGACGCUGAGACGCGAAAGCGUGGGGAGCAAACAGGAUUAGAUACCCCCGUAGUCCCUGAGCGGGCUGGCAAGGCG